CCUGCGGAAGAGGGUGUUACUGUGACGAGUACUGUGUGACAGCGGGUGACUGCUGUCCUGACUAUAAUCCAACCUGUAAACAAUCAAACAGUACAACACUUGCACCACUUAAUGUGACCACAACCUCAGGAUCCAGUCUUUCUUCAACAUUUUCUCCCACCUCUAGUAAUUCAGCUAUAGCGAUUGCUCACCUAAAAGUGUCCUUACUAUCUAAUUUUGAAACCAAAGAACGAGCGAUAUCAGAAAUUUCAUCACUUCUUCAGAGACUCGUGCAGCAGAGAUGUACUGGCUGUGCUGUGACGGUAAAGCCCGUGUGAGGCUUUGGACAAUGAAAGCAUGAAUUAGAAUGAAGCAACACGGUGAUGACAGACUCCAACACUCACAAUAAAAUCUAAUUAAACCAGUAAAGUUAACUGACUGUUUCAGAAUGAAUAAAGUGACAGACACUUUUUCUCAACUAGUAGUAUAUGCAUGUUUCUAAGUUCUUAUAAUCUUAAUUUAAGGAUGUAUUACACAGUUAUGAAUCUUUACCAUAUAUAGAGAUAAAAAGUUUUUUUAGGUGGAGGUACAAGAUUUUUUUUUUAAAUAAAGUUUAAUAAUGGAAUAAUUUUAUUUUUUUUAAAAAGAAAAAAAUUCUGACAAUCAUUUGACAGAAGAAUAACUCACCAUACAAAUCCAGUCUGCUCUGGUCAAGGAAGGAGACACACUGCCAAACAUGUUUGCAUUAGCCUACUGUAUUUUUUUCUGUGUUAUAUUAAGUUGUGGAAGUUGAGCGGCUGCAAUAAAAUUAUAACGCAUAAUUUAAAAUGUAAUAUUAGCAGUGCAGUUAGAAUUUUCCAGAUGAUAUGUGCUGUAAUUACAUUAAAGUAACUAACAUGUUAUA
Maylandia zebra (zebra mbuna) is the source of this 883-nucleotide long non-coding RNA. RefSeq lists it as uncharacterized. The record is from RefSeq and is a predicted model, not a curated record. Lineage: Eukaryota; Metazoa; Chordata; Actinopteri; Cichliformes; Cichlidae.